Molecule: long non-coding RNA, 566 nt
Filed under: Cricetulus griseus (Chinese hamster)
Lineage: Eukaryota; Metazoa; Chordata; Mammalia; Rodentia; Cricetidae
Description: lncRNA (ENSCGRG00015005367.2)
Source: RNAcentral
AUCUAACCACAUCCUCAGGAGUCUCUUCUGCUGCCGGCCUCAUCUGCUACUUGGUCCCCGGGUUCCACCUCUAUUUGAACUUUGAAAAUAACUAAAGAAUUAAAUGAAAACUCAGUAUGGCUCCCAAUGCCUACCAGAAGCAGCAGUAGUGAAUCGACGGGAGGGGAAGUUCUUAUCGGUCCUACAAAGCUACAGUUGGCUCCAUUUCACAGAUGAGGAAUUUGGGCCGUGGAGAAAUGGCUCAGCCAGGCAUCACAGGGUUUCAAAAUGUCAGUCUGAUGAGAAAACACCAGAACUACCAUGGAGAAUGAUAAAUGGAAGAGUAAGCAGCAGAAAAACAACCAAGAACUACACGGCUCAUCAGCUGGGAAUUCCCCAGAGUUUGGCAAUGCUGUGUUUCCUGCCUUAGAAUUUGUGACCCCCGGUUGACCUUUGUAUCAUUUACAUAGAGGGGCUUCUCUGAAAGAAGAACCACAUGCACACUUAAUAAAAAACGGGUGGGGACUCAGAGUCACCCAUGUGCUUCUUAGUUCCUUUUUACCUGAUACAACCUAGAGACAUCUGAG